AGCAGGGUGGCGCAGUGGAAGCGUGCUGGGCCCAUAACCCAGAGGUCAAUGGAUCGAAACUUUUUCUUGCUA
This 72-nucleotide transfer RNA is filed under the name Paramuricea clavata. It matches the Rfam family "tRNA". From Rfam's summary of the family: Transfer RNA (tRNA) molecules are approximately 80 nucleotides in length. Their secondary structure includes four short double-helical elements and three loops (D, anti-codon, and T loops). Further hydrogen bonds mediate the characteristic L-shaped molecular structure. tRNAs have two regions of fundamental functional importance: the anti-codon, which is responsible for specific mRNA codon recognition, and the 3' end, to which the tRNAs corresponding amino acid is attached (by aminoacyl-tRNA synthetases). tRNAs cope with the degeneracy of the genetic code in two manners: having more than one tRNA (with a specific anti-codon) for a particular amino acid; and 'wobble' base-pairing, i.e. permitting non-standard base-pairing at the 3rd anti-codon position. Lineage: Eukaryota; Metazoa; Cnidaria; Anthozoa; Malacalcyonacea; Plexauridae. The record is from Rfam by way of RNAcentral.